RNAcentral lists this ribosomal RNA (468 nucleotides) under uncultured bacterium. RNAcentral's name for it is "partial 16S ribosomal RNA". The stretch from base 52 to 468 matches the Rfam family "Bacterial small subunit ribosomal RNA", at positions 39 to 507 of the family's 1533-position model. The record is from RNAcentral.
GGGGGGGGGGGGGGGGGGGGGGGGGGGGGGGGGGGGGAGGGGGGAGGCCCUGCGGUGGUGGGGUGCGCGAGUGGCGAACGGGUGAGUAACACGUGAGUAACCUGCCCUUGACUUUGGGAUAACUUCAGGAAACUGGGGCUAAUCCCGGAUAGGAGCUCCUGCUGCAUGGUGGGGGUUGGAAAGUUUCGGCGGUUGGGGAUGGACUCGCGGCUUAUCAGCUUGUUGGUGGGGUAGUGGCUUACCAAGGCUUUGACGGGUAGCCGGCCUGAGAGGGUGACCGGGCACAUUGGGACUGAGAUACGGCCCAGACUCCUACGGGAGGCAGCAGUGGGGAAUAUUGCACAAUGGGCGGAAGCCUGAUGCAGCAACGCCGCGUGCGGGAUGACGGCCUUCGGGUUGGAAACCGCUUUCGCCUGUGACGAAGCGUGAGUGACGGUAAUGGGUAAAGAAGCACCGGCUAACUACGUG